CUAAAGAUGAGCUAGCCACUCAGGAUCAGCAAGAUGGAUAAAAAUGAUAAGAAGUCCUGAGUGUGUUCUCGUUUCCCUGAUCUAAUGCCCAUAACAAGAAAAAUUUCAGUCAAGAUUAGGUUCAAGUAAGGUGGAGUUAAGUCUACCCAGUGUAACCUGAUCGGCUGAGAACUUCUGGAGAAUCAAGUGAGAUAUGUCAGUGUGUUCCAGGUCCACAUGUGUGUCUUUCGCCACUGCUAAGGUCACUGAAUAAGAUAACUAAAGCACGAGGUGGUCAUUGAUCAACACAGAAUAAGGUCCUAAUUCCCACAAAGUUUUGACUGACUCAGUAAAAACUGACUCAAAUUGACCCAAAAGAAAAACAAAAGUAAGAAACGAGUUAGUAAACAACGAAAACCCUCCUC
This 404-nucleotide long non-coding RNA is filed under the name Brassica napus (rape). Its description in RNAcentral is "long non-coding RNA (BNAP_LNC025236)". The record is from RNAcentral. Lineage: Eukaryota; Viridiplantae; Streptophyta; Magnoliopsida; Brassicales; Brassicaceae.